UACGGAGGGAGCUAGCGUUGUUCGGAUAUACUGGGCGUAAAGCGCACGUAGGCGGCGUCGUAAGUCAGGGGUGAAAUCCCGGAGCUCAACUCCGGAACUGCCCUUGAAACUGCAAUGCUAGAAUCUUGGAGAGGCGAGUGGAAUUCCGAGUGUAGAGGUGAAAUUCGUAGAUAUUCGGAAGAACACCAGUGGCGAGGGCGACUCGCUGGACAAGUAUUGACGCUGAGGUGCGAAAGCGUGGGGAGCAAACAGG
This 253-nucleotide ribosomal RNA is filed under the name uncultured bacterium. RNAcentral's name for it is "partial 16S ribosomal RNA". It matches the Rfam family "Bacterial small subunit ribosomal RNA", at positions 524 to 776 of the family's 1533-position model. The record is from RNAcentral.